GGAUGUGAGGGCAAACUGGUUGUGACAUCUGUCAACCUAUUGAUUGCCAGGGUUGAUUCGGCUGAUCUGGCUGGCUAGGUGGGUAUCCCCUUCCCCCCUCACCACCCUAUGUGCAUCCCUCCUGAAGGUGUGUUCUCAGUCAAUAGAGGAGGACUAUUCUUCAGUCAAGGGUAUACGAGCAGCUGCACACCCCUGCUAGGACCUCCAAACAAACCCUCAAGAAAAGCCUUGAUUCUACACCUUCAGUCCUCAGAGUGCAAGACACGAAUCCAAUCCAUUGGUCUGCCAGAUGCACACAUGGACACAGU
Molecule: small nuclear RNA, 308 nt
Filed under: Castor canadensis (American beaver)
Lineage: Eukaryota; Metazoa; Chordata; Mammalia; Rodentia; Castoridae
Description: 7SK RNA (ENSCCNG00000015220.1)
Rfam family: 7SK RNA
About the family: 7SK was discovered as an abundant small nuclear RNA in the mid-70s but a possible function has only recently been suggested. Two independent studies have found that 7SK RNA binds the CDK9/cyclin T complex (known as elongation factor P-TEFb).
Source: Rfam by way of RNAcentral